Molecule: ribosomal RNA, 127 nt
Filed under: Escherichia coli
Lineage: Bacteria; Pseudomonadati; Pseudomonadota; Gammaproteobacteria; Enterobacterales; Enterobacteriaceae
Also listed under: 2 other names
Description: partial 16S ribosomal RNA
Rfam family: Bacterial small subunit ribosomal RNA
Source: RNAcentral
AAAUUGAAGAGUUUGAUCAUGGCUCAGAUUGAACGCUGGCGGCAGGCCUAACACAUGCAAGUCGAACGGUAACAGGAAACAGCUUGCUGUUUCGCUGACGAGUGGCGGACGGGUGAGUAAUGUCUGG